CUAACUAUAAUAUCUCAUCUUGCUCAUUCCAAUGGAGUCCUCCCAAUCUUAAGUUAAACGCUCUAAUUUUCCCAAGAAUUUUAUUUUCGGUGCUGCAACAUCGGCAUAUCAGGUCGAACGUGCUUGGAACGAAGGUGGUAAAGGCAGGAGUAAUUGGGACGUUAUGACUCUACAUUCACCUGAGCCAACAAGCUCAAACAAGCUAUAUGAUCCAUCUGAAGCUAGGGAUGUCAAUCCUGCUCGAGCGGCCCACGUCUCGGCCCAUAAAAAACUUGAGUUGAGGCAAGGCUCGUGGCUUGGUGGAACUGUUUUACCUUUUUUUUUU
Olea europaea var. sylvestris is the source of this 325-nucleotide long non-coding RNA. RefSeq lists it as uncharacterized. The transcript has 3 exons. The record is from RefSeq and is a predicted model, not a curated record. NCBI's taxonomy places the organism in Eukaryota, Viridiplantae, Streptophyta, Magnoliopsida, Lamiales, Oleaceae.